CUACGUGCCAGCAGCCGCGGUAAUACGGAAGGUCCAGGCGUUAUCCGGAUUUAUUGGGUUUAAAGGGAGCGUAGGCUGGAGAUUAAGUGUGUUGUGAAAUGUAGACGCUCAACGUCUGAAUUGCAGCGCAUACUGGUUUCCUUGAGUACGCACAACGUUGGCGGAAUUCGUCGUGUAGCGGUGAAAUGCUUAGAUAUGACGAAGAACUCCGAUUGCGAAGGCAGCAUACGGGAGUGUAACUGACGCUUAAGCUCGAAGGUGCGGGUAUCGAACAGGAUUAGAUACCCUGGUAGUCCGCACAGUAAACGAUGGAUGCCCGCUGUUAGCGCCUGGCGUUAGCGGCUAAGCGAAAGCAUUAAGCAUCCCACCUGGGGAGUACGCCGGCAACGGUGAAACUCAAAGGAAUUGACGGGGGCCCGCACAAGCGGAGGAACAUGUGGUUUAAUUCGAUGAUACGCGAGGAACCUUACCCGGGCUUGAA
Molecule: ribosomal RNA, 481 nt
Filed under: uncultured bacterium
Lineage: Bacteria
Description: bacterial SSU rRNA
Rfam family: Bacterial small subunit ribosomal RNA
Source: RNAcentral